GGCGAGAUGGCCGAGUUGGUUAUGGCGUGAGGUUAAGGUCAUUCUAAAAACUCUUAGCAACUAUAUUCCUCAUGGAGCAAUCCGCAUGGGUUCGAGUCCCAUUCUCGUCA
Microdochium trichocladiopsis is the source of this 110-nucleotide non-coding RNA. Lineage: Eukaryota; Fungi; Ascomycota; Sordariomycetes; Xylariales; Microdochiaceae. The record is from the annotation of a RefSeq genome assembly.